ACGGUAACAGGAAGCAGCUUGCUGCUUCGCUGACGAGUGGCGGACGGGUGAGUAAUGUCUGGGAAACUGCCUGAUGGAGGGGGAUAACUACUGGAAACGGUGGCUAAUACCGCAUAACGUCGCAAGACCAAAGAGGGGGACCUUCGGGCCUCUUGCCAUCAGAUGUGCCCAGAUGGGAUUAGCUUGUUGGUGAGGUAACGGCUCACCAAGGCGACGAUCCCUAGCUGGUCUGAGAGGAUGACCAGCCACACUGGAACUGAGACACGGUCCAGACUCCUACGGGAGGCAGCAGUGGGGAAUAUUGCACAAUGGGCGCAAGCCUGAUGCAGCCAUGCCGCGUGUAUGAAGAAGGCCUUCGGGUUGUAAAGUACUUUCAGCGGGGAGGAAGGUGUUGUGGUUAAUAACCGCAGCAAUUGACGUUACCCGCAGAAGAAGCACCGGCUAACUCCGUGCCAGCAGCCGCGGUAAUACGGAGGGUGCAAGCGUUAAUCGGAAUUACUGGGCGUAAAGCGCACGCAGGCGGUCUGUCAAGUCGGAUGUGAAAUCCCCGGGCUCAACCUGGGAACUGCAUUCGAAACUGGCAGGCUUGAGUC
RNAcentral lists this ribosomal RNA (593 nucleotides) under Salmonella enterica. RNAcentral's name for it is "bacterial SSU rRNA". It matches the Rfam family "Bacterial small subunit ribosomal RNA", at positions 66 to 648 of the family's 1533-position model. The record is from RNAcentral. Lineage: Bacteria; Pseudomonadati; Pseudomonadota; Gammaproteobacteria; Enterobacterales; Enterobacteriaceae.